CAGGAACCAGGUGACACAUCAGACUGUUGGCUCACUUACAAUGAUGAGCACGUCACCGUGACAACGGGUGAAUCCGUGUGUCACCUGAGGCAGGCAUCAGCGUACCUUUUGUUUUAUGAAAAGCAGUGAGGAAACAUGGAGACCAGCCCUCAGAACAAGAAGCUGGAACAUCUCCGUGUCUGUGUCUGUCUGUCUGUGUGUCUGUCUGUCUAUGUGUCUGUCUGUGUGUCCGUCUCUCCCUCUCUCUCUCUCUCUCUCUCUCUCUAUCUCUCUCUAUCCCUUCCUCUCUCUCUCUCUCUAUCUCUCUGUCUCUCUCUCUCUCUCCCCCUCUCUCUCUCUCUCUAUCUCUCUGUCUCUCUCUCUCUCUCCCCCUCUCUCUCUCUCUCUAUCUCUCUCUAUCUCUCUCUAUCCCUUCCUCUCUCUCUCUCUCUCUCUCUCUCUCCCUCUCUCUCCCUCUCUCUCCCUCUCUCUCUCCCUCUCUCUCUCUCUCUCUCUCUCUCUCUCUCUCUCUCUCUCUCUCAACCCAGCCGGCCAGCAGCAGAUGGGUUCCCCCAUAUGAGUCGGGUUCUGCUCAAGGUUUCUUCCUGUUAAAAGGGAGUUUUCUCCUUGCCACUGUUGCCUUAAGGCUUGCUCUGUGGGGGUUCAGGCCAUAUGGGUUCUGUAAAGCAUUUUGACACAUCUGGAUUUUAAUUGGCACUAUAUAAAUAAAAUUGGAUUGAAUUGAAUUGAAUUUAUUUAUAUUUGUUUUUUGAAUAAAUGUAUAAAUAUUUG
Molecule: long non-coding RNA, 771 nt
Organism: Amphiprion ocellaris (clown anemonefish)
Lineage: Eukaryota; Metazoa; Chordata; Actinopteri; Pomacentridae
Source: Ensembl